UGCUUUUGUCUUUCAUGCUGUGCCACGUGAUGAAAACAACACCUUUUGCUAGCUAAUAUCUACUCCACUUGCAUUAUCUAAAAAUGUAUAAAAUACAGUUGUUGAGGGUUUUUCUCAACGAGAGAUUAACAGCUGCUGCUGAGGAGAUAUUCGGGGUCGUUGAAAAAACGAUAGCAGAGUAUCAUGAGGAAGUUGUCCGUCUACAGAGGCUGCUCGACAUUGUUCUUCAACCUGAACCUGAUAUAACGUUAAAGCUACACAGAGCAGGUUUGUUAGCUACUCAGUACACAUUACUUUUGUCUAACUCAGGGGCGCAAUAGAGACAUCGAUAUGGAGGUAUAUCAUUGACAUAAUGAUUUGAGUGUGUAGAAUAGAUUUGUAUUUGUAAACACAAUUUGCAAGUGUGUAACUGAUGAGUUGUGAACAUGAAAUAAUAAUAUGUACAGUAGUUGUAAACACGUUCUCAAACGUGUAACUGAUGAGUUGUGAACAUGGAGAAAAAAAUGUGAUUGUAAUGGCAUUUGCAAACGUGCAAAGCAAUAAUUGCAUCUGUACACCUGCACAUAUCAAUUUCGCACCCUCAGACUUUUGGUAGAGCAAGAGAGAGAGACCUGUUUCUUCUAACCAAUCAGGUGAGGUUUUUCAUAGACCAGCAUACUCUACACUGUUUGGUUGAUGACAGCUCACAUGGGCUGUGUUGUCUGGCGCAACCACCUGUCAAUCACGACGUGCGUUACCAGGUUACCACUGAGACUGAUUGCACACCAAAGAAGCCCAGCUGUUAGUUGUCAUGGCUGGCUGCAAUCCACUCAGAGUUAGACGGGGUCCGUUCAGGCCUCCGUUAGCUCCACAAUGCCCUGGUGGACGUGAAAGACAUCCAUAACUCCUUGGAAAAAGCAUCAACACCAUUGAGAAUCUAAAGGAUGUAAAAUAUGCUGGGAUGCAACACAGUCAGCUAGCCUCAGCCGUGGAGAACCUGAAGAAUAUCUUCUCAGACCUCCAGCAACACACUCUCUCUGUCUGUGAAGAGGAGGU
This is a long non-coding RNA of Coregonus clupeaformis (lake whitefish), 1035 nucleotides long. RefSeq lists it as uncharacterized. The record is from RefSeq and is a predicted model, not a curated record. Lineage: Eukaryota; Metazoa; Chordata; Actinopteri; Salmoniformes; Salmonidae. The transcript has 3 exons.